UAAAAUACAAUUAUAUUCACAAAAAAUACAUGUAAAUAUUUGCUUUAAUGAAAAUAGAACAGCUCUUAUGGCAACACUCAAUUUAGCUAAUAUGAAUCAAGAACUGUACAUGUUUUUGCAUUUACUAACUCAUUGCAUGAAAUUCUCCAAAACCCAUGAUUAUGAUGAUGCAAUAUAUACCAUAUUCAGGGAAUAGUGACUAAGUAGGUUAGUAAGUAAUGACUAAGUAAGUAAGGAAGGAAUAUCCUUACCAGGGAUAAGAACCUUGGCUAUGGAUCAUUCUGAGACAUACCACCUUUUCACAAAAUGUCCUUUGAAACCAUGCUCUCAUAAUUUACUCCUGAGUAACAACAACCACAACAGAAAACGGGAUGGUUAUAUAGUCAAGAUAGUCAUGGCUUGCUUCUUUACUUCCCUCAGACCUCUGCUGAAAUACAAGAUACUUAUCAAGAUAAGGCAAGAUACUAAGAUAUAAGUUACUAAGAUGUAAGAUAAGGUGCCCAGGAAGUCCUGGAACUGAGUCCUGGGGCAAGGUUCUGGAAGUUGGGACAAGAAGACAGCCCUGGUAAUUCUACUGGA
RNAcentral lists this long non-coding RNA (579 nucleotides) under Homo sapiens (human). RNAcentral's name for it is "HSALNT0318887". The record is from RNAcentral. Lineage: Eukaryota; Metazoa; Chordata; Mammalia; Primates; Hominidae.